GAAACAAAGAUGGCGCCGACAUCCAGCCUUGUCUGGAUAUAAACGACUUACUGCGCAUGUGCAGGCUUGUCCCCUUGCUAGGGCUCCCUCUAGUGGUGAACAGCGGUACUGCACAUGUGCGGUUUAUUCACCAGGUGUUAGUUGACCGUUAAUAUGCUAAUGAGGUGAUUCAUUCUCCGCCAAUCCCUGGAGGACAAGUAGUGGGGUGAUCCAAGCCCCACCAAUCCCUGAGAGAUAAUUAGCAUACUGCUGUCUAUAUAAGCCGAGCGAUUUUGCUGCUCGGGGUCCCUGUUCAGAAGAGCUGUAACACUGAGAAGAGCUGUAACACUGAGAAGAGCUGUAACACUGAGAAGAGCUGUAACACUGAGAAGAGCUGUAACACUGAGAAGAGCUGUAACACUGAGAAGAGCUGUAACACAGUAAAGGCUUGCUCGCAGAAGAAUCCUGUUGCCGCGCGUCGUUCUUGCUGGCGGGACAUUGGGCGCGCGACAAAGUCCUUUCCUGCAUGAGAGCCAUGAUGUUUACUGCAAUGGAAUUUUCAAUGUGACAUGAGAGAUGCUCACAGCUGAUCAGAGCCAAAGAGCACAUAACUUUAUUUUCAACAUAGUAAGAACUGAAUCUCAUCUGCUGUGUUGGAUUCCAACAUGCUGCUGAGAACCUGGAAUCCUUGGAGAGUCACUAACAAUCAGUCUAUCUGGAUAGAAAGAAAGAAAAAAUAAUAAUCUGGUUCUCAUUGCGAAGAAUUGUGUCAGCAGUGCAAGAGAGGCAGUCGCCAACAAGGAGAGGAAGGAGGAGGUCAGUCAGUUACUGACCCAGUAGCCUGCUGUGGGUCUAUGCACACAGAGUCUGUAUACGAUACCCUGUUCAGAGAGCAAAGAAACAGGAAAGCUGGAGGGAGAUGCAGAGAUCUGCAGAACAAGGUGAAGAAGCAGGCGAGCUGCACAGAAGGACAGGACAGCAAAGGCGCAGCACUGUUCACUGCCAUU
Non-coding RNA from Rattus norvegicus (Norway rat), 986 nucleotides. The record is from RefSeq and is a predicted model, not a curated record. NCBI's taxonomy places the organism in Eukaryota, Metazoa, Chordata, Mammalia, Rodentia, Muridae.